ACAAGCAGGGGGAGUGGGAGAGGGAGAAGUAGGCUUCCCGCUGAGCCGGGAGCCCGAUGCGGGGCUCGAUCCCAGGACCCUGGGAUCAUGACCUGAGCCGAAGGCAGACGCUUAACGAUUAAGCCACCCAGGCGCCCCCUUAAUUAUGUAAUUUAAAAUAUAAGCAAAUAAAGGGAUACUUUUCCUGCAGUACCGUUUCGGCUGAAGGGAGAUUUAAUCUGAAGAUAAGUGCGUGCACCUCUUGGCCCAGUCCCCCGGGCAUCUGGCCCUUUCCCUAGAGGCCUUGGGAAGAGGUCUUGACUUAGGGAGAGGGUUUCCAUAACCACUUCAGCCUUGGACUGGCCUGGAGUUUAAUUUUCACCCUCUGCUUUUGUCUAGGGCUAAACUUGGGCAAGCUGCAUGCUCCUUGUCUUGUGCUAGAUCUUCAUAUGCAAGGUGCAUCUUCAAAGAAAACAUACCUCUUCAGUGACCUUUUCCUCUCCGCCAAUGAGCUGCUUCAUCCCUAGUCAUGCGCAGAAGUCAAAGGACACUGGGGUGGCUUCCAUGGUUCAUUCAUAAAGGGAAGAAAUGCUAAAACACGACUAUAAAAAUGAUGGUCUAUUUUAAAUAUUUGUGCCUAAUAAAUUAGUGCUUUUAAUGCAUACAUAAUAUGCUGUGUGGAGUGACCACAAUUAUUACAUAAUUAUGGUUGUAUAAAAAAUACCACCCGUGUCUUGGAGGAUGUGUGGUCUGGUAAUGGGACUCAUGUGUAAUGUUGUAAUGAUUGCAGGGUAAUUUGAAUCUAGUCAAUAGAUUAUAGACACUGUAUGUCAAAGCUUAACAUGAGACGGUGCUGGAAAUCUGAAGCUGAAUCCUUCUGUGUCUCAGAUGCCCCGGGACUGAAAGCUCUCAGAAGCCCACUUCAUAGGCCCUGAGAGUUCAGCUUCUAUCCCAUAAAAACUUAAAAGAAAAUUUUAAUAGCAAGGAACUUGGGUAUUUUCAUACAUGGAGUUUCUUAGAAAAGAGGAAAAAUCCGGGAUAUAUCAUCCAGAACAACUCGUUUGCUUUCUGACAUAACUAUUUGCUUCUCUUUUCUUUAUUAUGUGGACUUCCUACUUCACUCAUCUUGCUUUCUGCUUCAGUAGUUACUGAUUUGUGAACGUGUUUACUUGCGCUCCCCUUUGAAGUUGGGAAAAUUAAACAAACUCCUUGUCUCCAAAUAAUGUUGAGUGCAGCGUGCUUCUCCGAGGUCUUUGUGAAAUGCCUUUAAAACCACUGGUGAGCGUUGACUUCUGGACUUUUUCGUCUUUUAAAAUUUGCUCACAUCAUUUGGAUUAGAAGAAUGUGAACAGACAGCAAGAUUUAGACAGUGUGAUUCCAAAUUUGCGUGCUUUUCUGUAAAUACCCUUUUUUAAAAAGGUUUUAUUUAUUUAUUUGACAGAAAGAAACACAGCUAGAGAGGGAACACAAGCAGGGGAAGUGGGAGAGGGAGAAGCAGGCUUCCCGCCGUGCAGGGAGCCCGAUGCGGGGCUGGAUCCCAGGACCCAGGGAUCAUGACCUGAGCCGAAGGCAGACACUUAACGACUGAGCCACCCAGGCGCCCCAGUACCUUUUUUUUAAAGAUAAAUAUUGUGUCUUUUAAAUCAUAUCGAAGGGUUUGGUGGCCAUUCCUUUGUCCCUCCUUAUCCUUCUCUUUCCCCCCAACUAUCCUCUUCUUCAUUCACGCCUGCACUCACACCCUCACUCAGCACUCCUAGAAUGGACAGAGUGUUAGGGAGGUGCAUUUCCUAUGUAGGUAACUUUGCCAGAUCAUAUAACCUCUCUCUGUCUUAGUUUUCUGGAUUGGUAAAAGGGCAGUAGUGAUGGUGCGAGCCCCAGAAGGUAAGUACCGUAGGUAUAUUGUAUAGGUUGGUGAGAGGGUUAAAUAAAUUUAUGAAUAAAAGUACUUGGCACCCAGGGUGUACUCCAUACGUUGUCCUUAUUUUUUGUUGUUAUUAAUUUUAUCAUCCUUUCAUUCACUGCUCCCUGAUCAUCAUACUUCUUAAAACGGAGUAUGCCAGCUACUAAGGACCUUGUGGUUAACAGAAAGAUGUGGUUUUGCAUUCAUGGACCCUUGAACCCAGCAUUUACUUCUUUUUUUUUUGGAAGUCUGUUUAUUUUUUUUAGUAAUCUCUGCACUCAAGAUGGGGCUCGAACCCAUGACCUCUAGAUCAAGAGUCGCAUGCUCUUCUGACUGAGCCAGCCAGGCACCACUAGCAUUUACUUAUUUUUUAAAAAUUCUUUCAUACGAGGAAGGGACAGAAAUGCUUAAUGAAACUGUGAUGGCCAGUUUGCUUGUUUAUACCCCUCCCUUCCUUCCUUUUUUUUUUUUUUUAAGAUUGUAUUUAUUUAUUUGAGAGAGAGAAUGGGAGAGAGGGAGAGCACAUGAGAGGGGGGACGGUCGGGGGAGAAGCAGACUCCCUGCUGAGCAGGGAGCCCGAUGCGGGACUCAAUCCUGGGACUCCAGGAUCAUGACCUGAGCCAAAGGCAGUCGCUCAACCAACUGAGCCACCCAGGCACCCCUACCCCUCCCUUCCUUAAAAAAUGUUUUAAAAUAGUUUUGUUUUCAAAAUAUAAUACCAUUUUAUUCUCAGAUUAAUGUGGUGUCCUAGAGUAGAGGGGAGGCCUUACCUUUGUUUGCAGAUAGAGCGACCUGAUCACCGUGUAAAUUCUUGCUCAUGGGUAAGUUUCCAGUGGGGCUGAGGCCCCAGGUAUUUUAACUGUGAGUCUGGUUCUCUGCAGUAGCCCUUUUAACCCCAUUUUUAGUACUGAUGGGCAUCCCAUCAUGUGCUCAUUUGUUGAGCAUGUGUGACUUUCAAAAGGCUCUGUUAGCCUGUCGAAUUCCAUGAUGAAUUAGAUAGCUAUGCUUUCAUUCUGAGCAUGUAACUAGAAGCAUGCUGACUACUGGAUGGAGUUUUGAGGGUUUCAGGAACGUACAUUGGGUUGUUCUUAAUAUCAUCUGAAUAGGAGGUGGCAGUUCAAGGAAGGUUCCUCUCAUUUAAGCUGAGAUCUUGUUCAUGAAUUUCCAAAAUGACCACAGAGGCCAAUUUGGUAGCCUGACCAUUUUGGUCAUAUGCAGGGAUAAUCUCAAUGGCUGGUUGGAGCUAAGUGGUGUACAGGCUCCUUUUUUUGGAAAUGUAUAUGAUAACCAGUCACGAAAAGUUGGAAAUGCAUAUCUGUCCCAAGUAUCCCUGAAAAUUUCUGUAGUUAUCACAUUACAAAGGGUUCAAUGGAAUCAAAGAUCUUUGGACUAUAAGACUAAUAAACUAUCUCAGGAAUCCCUUGCUUUUUUUACCCCUGGUAUUUUGGGAGGCUAAAAUAAACCUCAUUUCCAGUAUUUAAUUGUUUGUUUACUACCUAUUUGAAGGAAAUAUCAUUUUGUCUCAGAACAAUGGGGGCUGUGGUCACAAGAGAGUGGUGAGUUAACACAGGGAGUUGGGAAUCGACCCAGUUUGGCUCAGAGUUUAUGCAUUUCUGAAUGCAGGUGAAAAGGAAAGCUUCAUUGCAGAAAAUUCAGGAGAACUGGAAAUGGAAAAUUGAAACAUUAAAACAAAAUAGAGCCCAUUUUGAACAUGCUCCAUGAGUUGAUAUAGAACCGUUAGUCAAGAAGGUGUUAAAUGCAAAGAUGUCUACCCUAGUUCAUAGAUUCCUUAUCCUUCAUUGGCUGUUAAUUUCUGUUUUUUUUUUUUUUUUUUUUUUUUUUAGAUUUAUUCACUUAUUUGAGGUGGGGGGGAGGGACAAAGGGAGAGGGAGAAGGAGAAAAGCAGACACCCUGUUGAGCGUGGAGCCUGAUGCUGGGUUCUAUCCCACACCCCUGAGAUCAUGACCUGAGCUGAAAUUAAGAGAUGAGGCUCAACACACUGAGCCACCCAAGUGCCCCAUUGGGUUUUAGAUAAUUCAAGGACAAGCGUUUAGGAUAUAUGGAGCAAGUUGAUACAUACAUAUCAUUGGUCAUUGCCUCCCCACACCCAUGGCAGUUACAGCCGAGCAAUCACGGCACAUUUUCCCACCAAAGGCAUUGGUUUACAAAAUUAUUUGUAAUGUAUUGGAAUUGGCACAUGAAAUGAAACCCUUAUACUAUUUAUCACACAGGACAUUGUUUUUUCUAUUGAUGUGGUCUAGAUUUUACCCAUAUUCAGUUAACUUAAAAACAAAUGAUUGCCUUAUCUUAGUAGAAGAGUUAAUAUUUGCAGGUUCAGGUGAAGAAAUAGAUUCUAUAAAUACAUUUACAGCCUAUACUAAUUUUAUCCAUAGAUGAGUUGGGGGUGUGCACCUGAAUUUGUCUCUUGCAUCUGAAUCAGGGCCAAUCUCUAAGUUCUGUUAGCAGAAGUAUGUAAUUAAGGUAAAGGGAUUUGAACCGGCCAGCCAGUCCAAAAUUAGCUCUUGCGUUGAUGUUCCCCAGGUGCAAGGGCACCCAUGCCUGGUCCUUUCACCUUUAAUGCACUUGAUUUCUUUUCUCUAAGGCGUAUGCAUGUCUUACCAGGAUUGCAGCAAGUUUGGUUCUGGCUCAGAUUGGGAAACUGAGAUUGUUUUCUCCUGUGGUUCAUUAAUCACAUUUGAAACGUCAUUUGGAACCUUAGAAGCUUGUUUAAAUAUUCUUCUAAGGAUAAGUGUCACAUUACUUACAUUUAGCUAUGGUAGUCCAACAAGCUGUGUUUUUUUUUUUUUUUUUUUUCCAAGCUGUUUUUGGGCUGAUACUUUGAAAAUUAUGUUGUAUUUGCUUUUAAGUGAAGGUAGGCAGUACAAUCAAGGAAGGGUUUUUAAGUUUAUGUGUCCAGGAAUAUUCCUGGACGUAUUGUACGGCUACAGAUUCCACUGUGGCGACUUUGGGGGUGGGGUUCUUGGACUCUCUGCCCUCACUGGUGUGUACCUUGGGCCAGUUUUGCAAGCUGUCUUGUGCUUUAGUACCCUGAAUAAAAUGGAGACAAUAGCAGUACCUCUUUGAUAAAGUUGUUAUGAGGAUUAAAUUGAAUGACACAGAAGAGGUGAGUAAAUCAAUUGGCACAUGAAGCUUAAGAUGUAAGCAAUUAUUCCAUAGAGAUGGGAUGGCAGGGCAGGGACGAGGGUGAGACUGGUGAGGCACUUGCCUUGGGCACAAAAUUUAAGGGGCACUCACAACCUCAGUAAUCAAAGUAAAAAACAGUUUAAUGCAAUAUUUAGAAAGUGAAAAUCCAUGAAAAGUAUUCAUGAUGGAGAAAAUACCAACUUUGUUUUUUAUUAUUUUUAAAAUUUUUUUAUUUUUCUUUUUUUUAAGAUUUAAUUUAUUUAUUUGAGACAGUUACAGAGAGAGAGAGAGCACAAGCAAGGGGCAGGGACAGAGGGAGAGGGAGAAGCAGGCUCCCCACUGAGCAGGGAGCCGGAUGUGAUGCGGGACUUGAUCUUAGGACCCUGAGAUCAGGACCGGAGCUGAAGGCAGAGGCUUAACUGACUGAGCCACCCAGGUGCCCCUCAAUUUUAUUUUUUAAUUAAAUUUUUAUUUUUUCACAAUAUCAACUAUGUGAUUCACUCCGGAGCCAACCCUGCACCUGUGUGGCCCCAGCUCAGUGCUAUCACUCUACUCCCAGUCCUGGCCAUCACUCCGGUCAGCCAGGGCUGCGGCCUUGGCGGCUUUUUCAGGAAUGGCCAUUAGUUUGUGCUGACCAGUUCCUCUUGAGUCACCAGCACAUACUUUCAGGAUGACUCUCUGGAGCCAGAGGUGCAGCUGAAUCCUGGAAUAUUGCUGAGCUCACAGUUUGUAAGGAGACUGAUUGUAUAUCCUUGGUCUCACAGCCUGGUGCUCGAACUGUCUGAGCUAUGCAGUGCCAGACCCUGGAGUAACUGGCAUGUCCUAGUAACGUAUAAGCUAUUCCCUUACGAAGAACUCCUUUGGACACCGUAUCAAAUUUAUCAGGUUAGCCCUUCUUUAUAGACAGGUGAGGUACAGUUCCCGGUUCCUAAUGCUGACUUGCACUCUGGAAACAAAAUGAGGAAUAGGGGAAGAGAAAGAAUAUUCCAGAAGAGACAUCAGUUUUUGCUCAGAUUUCUCUGUUUUUUUUUUUUUUAAUUUUUUUUUAAAGAUUUUAUUUAUUUAUUUGAGAGAGAGAAUGAGAUAGAGAGAGCAUGAGAGGGGGGAGGGUCAGAGGGAGAAGCAGACUCCCUGCCAAGCAGGGAGCCCGAUGCGGGACUCGAUCCCAGGACUCCAGGAUCAUGACCUGAGCUGAAGGCAGUCGCUUAACCAACUGAGCCACCCAGGCACCCGGAAUGUGAUCUCUUAAAGAUAGAAAUACUAUGGCCCUAAGAGAAGUUGGAGUAGCAGCAGAGGCUUGUAGGCUGAGGUUUGCCUUGUUUGAUAAAGUGCUGUAAAAAGAAUUGGAUUGGGCUUAAUGUUCAAUUCUUAUUUAUUGUUGCAGAGAUCUUGAGAUCUCUGUGUAUCUCUGUGGCAAAAAACUGGCUGUUCUCUCUAACUUGACUCCUUUUUCUGGAAUUAAAAAAAAAAAAGAUUGAGCGAGUCAAAUGGAUAUCUGGGCUCUGAGUGAAGAAAGAGGUGCUUCCUGGAUCCUUAAAAUCACUGCCGUGUGAAUGCGGAAGUGUAGAGCAGAGUCACCCAUGUUGUCUGAUUUCACAUUACACUUAAAGUGAAGAAACUGAGUACCUAGGUGGGGUGGAGGAUAGGAUCCCUGAGUUAUAAGGAUUUGGGGGGUGAUAGGAGAGAAGUCAGAUGACCUGCGGUAGGGGAUGAGUUAGCUUCCGUCCUCUAGCUCUCUCUUGUAAGCAUUCUAGGCUCUGGGAGAUUCAGCACUGAGUAGAACAGAGAGUGUCCCUCCUCUUAUGGGAAAGCAGCAGCAGGUUGUGAGGAUUAAGAGCAUGGAUUCUAGAGCCACACACUUCCAGAUUUGAAUCCCAGCUUUACCACUGAGUAGCUGUGUGUCUUGGGUGAAUUACUUAACCUCUCUGUGCUUUAGUAUUCUCAUAUUUAAGAUGAGCAUAAUACUAUUACCCACCAAGUUGGGUUGUUGUGAGAUCCAGGGUACUUAGAAAUAUAACCUAGUAAGUCCAAUACACAAUAUAAGCCCCAGUUCUUAUGAAUACUAUUAUUAUAGACCUUAUACUCUUAUGUGCACUCAUAUGCCAGGUGAUAGGCCUGUUAAUGAAUGCAGACAAAAAUAACUGGAAGUGCAACAGGGGAUCAUGGGAUGCAGUCCUAGAUAGGCUGGUCAAGAAGGCCUCCUGGAGAACUUGAUCUUUGAGAUGGGACCUGGAUCCCAAGGACUGUGCCUCAUGAUGAUCUAGGGAACAGAGGGAACCCACAAAGACCCUGAGGUGGAAAAGACCUCUAGUGAGUUUGAGGAAGAGCUAGGAGACUGUGGUGGCCCCAGUGACACACUGAUGGGCAAUGGCUUGAAGACCAGGCAGCAGCCAGAUCAUGUAGGGUUUUGUAGACUUUGCAGGUGGACUUGGAUUUCAUUGUUAAGCAUAGUGGUUCCUCAAAUGAGCAGUGAUACAGUCUGGUUUUGAAAAGGCUACUCUGGAACCUCUCUACCUGUGUGUCCUCUCAGGAUGAAGUCAUGUGGAGUGCCUACAGGUUGAGGGCGAUGAUGACCCUGGAAGUAGUGUUGACAGCCUUCCAAGUAUACCAUUUGGGGGGGGGGUGAGGUUUGGGCGGCCACAGGGUUUAUGAAGAACCUCUGAUCUCCUUUCCCAUGCUGAGAUGCACAGAUUAAACGAAAGGAAACCCUAUAAUGCCACUGUCACUGAUAGAUAGGUAUUGAGCCUAAGGUUAAGUGCUUGAAUUCACAUUUUGGUUUCCUGGAAUUAGAAUUUGAAAGAUUGCCUCCUGGAGUGGUUUCCAUUUCUUGUUAACUUGAAACAGUCAACCGAUUUCUGCUUCAAAAUACCUGUGAGGGAUACCACUGAGAAUGGAGGUGGUGUUUGAGGAUGCCUCCUGCCUUUGUUUCUUUUGAACAAAGCAAGUGUAAACGUGUGUGAUUUGAAUUAGGGCAGGGAAUAAAGCUUCUACUAAUUGAGGAUCUUGCUGCACAACUUGUAAUGCAUCUUCACGGUUUACCUGUCCUCUAAGCUGAGUAUGUUUUGAUUGAUUUUUGCACGUAAUUGAGUUUGGCUCAAAAGAGUAACAAAGUCAAAUGAAAGAGUAAUUAAUUUUUGAACAUGGUCAAAAUUUUUUACCAGCAAUAAAUUGCUGAUGAGAAAGGUCUUUUACAUAAAUUUUGCAUGACCCACCACCCUGCCCUGACUGUUUAAAAAGAAGUCAGGUACAAUAAAUUCCAUCAUUUGAAGGUGUUGGUGAUGAUUUACUUUAAUUGUGAAUAUUUAAUUGUGACUAUCUUAUAAUAUCCUCUAGUGUCACAUAUGGGCUGGCUGGGGAGGGGCAUACAGAGAUACUGUUGAGUUUACCAAAUGUUUCUGGCUUCAUAGCACUCAGAAUGGAACUAUGAUGAAGCGCUUGCAAAGGGCAAGUGUGAAGGCACCGGGAUAGGAAGCAGCCAUAAAUAAAGGCUGCUCUUUGGGAUAGAGACCCUCUCCAUCAUUCAGCAGCUCGAGUUCAGCCUGACACUUGUUUCUCCUUAAUUCCAGCCUAAAAAUAUAAUUUGAAGUUUCUUGUAUUAAUACAUGGUGGCCACUGCCACCAUCCUCUGGAAACGUUUAAAACGAGGAAGAAUGUGCCAAGUAAGGGUAUCCAAGGGCUUGAUUCAGUCACGGAAGAGCUCAGACUCAGGAGAGUCAACAUCUGUCAGUUACGACUUAAUUUUAGUCCCAGUCUAAGUGACAUCUGAAAACAGAUGCAGAAACAGAGAGAAAUCAAUGCAAAGCUUUUGGUGAUGUAAAAACCAUCUUCCUAUUCAGACUCGGGUAAUAAGGCAUUCUAGAGAAGUGUUGGAUUCUAUUUUAUGCUGUACGUAAAAUGUAAUGUGUUUAUAUGAGGGUUGGAGAUGAGAGGCCAUUUUGUGGUCUAAACUGCUUUUUCAUUUAGAACCAGCUUUUGCUCCAGAAAGAGAGAGAUGUGAUUUUGGAAAUUUGCCUUUGGGCACUGAUGUGUUUGCUGAGUCAAGUUCUGAAUUUUUAGAAUGAAAAUCACCAUAGCUGUGAGUUGAAAGUGAGGCAGCAGGAGCAUUUCAAUCAUUUUUGGAUCAAGAAAAAAAAAAUCAGCAUUGACAUUUCUCAUAGUUAACCUUUUCUUGAUUAUAGAUACGUCUCUUUUUACCUUAGCAACAUAACAUGAGUGAUUUGUAUAAGUUUUUGCAACUGUACAAAAAUACCUGCCUAUGAUGCUGCGUUAAUUUGUCACUGUCUGAGCUUGGCCACAGGAUUUGCAAGAUUUGAUGAUUUCAGAGUUUACAGUCUCCAUGAUGUAGUGAUUCCUGGUAUCUUGUCCUGUUUUCUUCCACUGUCAGGGUUGGUCUGUAAUGGUAGGUCACUUCCAAGAUUACAUUAUAAAAAUUUGCCUUCCAUCCUGGGCAUUCUUUCUCUUGGAUUCCUCAUUCUGGGGAAAUCCACUGUGAGCAGACCAAUGGAGAGGCCCAUGUAGUAAGGAACUGAUGCCCCCUGCCAAUAGCCACGUGAGUGAGCUUGGAAGUAUAUCCUCCAGACCUAGUCAUGUUGCAGAUGACUGCAGUCAUCUAAGUAACCCAUUAACUGUGAGAUAAUAAAUGUUUGUUGUUGUUUGAAGUCAGUAACCUUGGGGCAAUUUGUUACACAGCAAUAGGUAGCUAAUACAAACUGAUAACAUUAAAUUGGUUAACUUAUGUGCCCUUCAUCUACCCAUCCAUCCACCCACCCAUUCCCCUAUCCACUAAUGCACCUAUCUACCCACUUCAUCCAUCCAUCCCUACAUCCAUCCAUCCCACUCUUUAUGCUUUCAACAAAUGUUUGAGGACCUGUUUUGUCCUAGGCACUGUGCCGGUGAUGAGGAUGCUAAGAUGAAUGCCACAACUGAUGUUUUCAAGGAACAAAAUACCUAGUUUUCUCCAGCAAAACUGUAGUUGAAUGCUACGUUGCCACUUUCCUAAGAUUAAAUUUGAGUUUUAUUUUUAUUUUACUUAUUUUUUUAAAUUUGAGUUUUAAAAGUAAACAUUUAAAGAAAGUUCUUAUUUUUCUGUAUCCUUCUUUAGUGUUCUUUUUGCUAAUUCAGAACAGGGAACAAUAAACAUCAAUUUAAAUCACAUUUGGUUUACACUAUAAAAAUGGAUUUUAGGUGAAAUUGAUGCAAAAUGUAUUUUAUGGCACAGUAUUUAUAAGUUGUAUAAUGGUUUAAGUGGAUUCUUCACAUUCAUUGUAUAUAAUUUUCCCCUGAUUAUAUUAAUUGGUCCAUAAGUAAAAAAGUUCUGAGCAAUUUGAGAAAGAAAAUCUGAUUUUGAACCAAAUCAAAACAUAAUAGUAAAUACUAAUAUUGAUAGAGCACCUUCUCUAUGCAGCUUCUGUAGUAAGCAAUUUAUGGACAUUUCUUCUAUUAAUGCUCACAGGGAGUUAUAAUUAUUAUCCCUAUUUCAUGGGUAAUGAAACUAAGGUUUAGAACAGUGAAUUAGUGCAAAAUCCAAAAGUCGGUAAGAGUUGAAGUUGAGUUUCAAACCCAGAUCUUAAGAUCUUACUGUGCUUUACAUAAAUGUAUAUAUGCUUGUGUAUUGAUAGACAAUAUCAUGCUAAAUGUUUCAGGAGUUUACAGUUUUCCCAGGAUACACUCAGUUGUAAUGUUUGCUAUGUGUCAACAGAGCCCUUUAAAGCAUGGUUUGGCCAAAUUUGUAUCAAAGUAUCAUGGGGACUGCAACAAUCCAAACUACCUAUCUGUCUGUCUGUCUGUCUGUCUGUCCAUCUACUUAUUUACUUCCUUACAGUCACAACUUUAAAUGGAGUAUCUUAUCAUAUCCUGUGCAACCCAAAGGAACUUUCUGGUUCUUUCUUUAUUAAGGUGCUGCAGUUGGGGGAAAAAGAGAGAGAGAGAGAAUACUAGAUUAGAGGUCUCCUGAAGAUUUACUUCUUCUAUUGAAUUUCCAUCACUGUUAGGACAAGGAGCAGAGAUGAGUGGACUAAUGUCAUCUGGGAAAGGACAAGUCCCCUUACCUAUUUUCUUCAAAAAGCUGUAUUCACAUACUUAAUAAAUAAAUGUUGACUGUUAAUAGUUGAGUAGAGGGUCACUUUUCUUGAUUUUUUUCCCUUCCUCUUCAUCAUCGCUGUCAUCAUUGGCAUCCUGUGUCACCCAAUCUGAACCUUUCAGAGGUUUCAUAAUUAUUUUAGCAAGAAAACAUGAGAUUUCAGGUUGAACAGAAACUUUAAAUAAAAAUUAGAGAACGAAAUGGUUCCAGCCAAGUGAAGGUCAGAUGGUGCUAACUGCCUGGGAAGUUACGUAAUAGAAACUGAGUUAAAAGGAAUACCUACUUAAUUAAUUCAUUUACAAGUUAAAUAAAAGCAGGAACAAAUGUGUACAUCAAAUGCAUAAUGACAUACACAUAGGGUAAUGGAAUGUUACUGCACCCAAAAAUGUUUAUAAUUGCCAGCAAAAUUUCAUCUUUUGGUGAAUUUCUUUCUCAAGUAUGUAUAUUCCCUGUUGCUUUUUGCCAUAGUUAAUCAUUUGAACUUAAAACAAUGGCAUCAACCUUUCUUUUAAUGAUUUUCUCUCUUAAACUUCUUUGCUGCCCUUGUGCGCGCUCCUCCUAUCUGAUGCCUUCUGUCCCUGUCAGUUUUCCAAAUGAGGGGUGGGGACUGCUGUGCCGUGUGAUGUGGCAGAAUUAGGGACUGCUUAGGCUGCACAGAGAGAGCGCAUGAGCCUCAGAAAGCCUCAAAUAACUUCCUCUCUUCCCCCAGAAUCAGCCUUUUCCCAGCUGCUAGCCCUCUCAUCCCCUGGAUAGAGUCUUUUCCCACUUGCCCUUGGAUUUCCUUCUGCUCCUUCAUGCUGGGUGUAGCAUGAUGGAUUGUGCCUAGAGGAAACUAUAUUGAGCUUGGGGCAGAGCAGGGUAAGAAGUUUGCUCUUUAGGAAAAAGAAAUCCAAACCAUUCCCCCCUCUUUGGUCAUUUGGUAUGGGGGUGAAGGGAAGCUGGAGUAGGGCACGGAGCUGGUUAAAGCCCAAGGAAGGACAUCAGGCAAGAAGCUGGGUUGGCUUCCUUCCAGCAGGAUGCAGGAAGGCCUUUGUGUCUUAUAGAAGAGAUGGUAGGCCUGCGUCUCCUUCACGAAUCUUUGUGGAUGAUGACAGAGCUUCUGUGAGUCGUCUCAUUGUUCAUGGUUGGGUUCCUUUGAAUUGCAUGAAAACGGGUGCUUGCCUUGGAUGCAAAUUUUGUUUCCUCCCUGGGUGAAGGGUCUCAGAUAGUAGAGUAUGUUGGCCACCAGCUCAGAAUGACUGCCAGGGACUGCUGAAAGUAGAAAUUUUAGAAGGAGAAUGCUGAGUGAGGCCUCAAGUGCUUCAGGGAACGUUUCAAGUUGGAUCCUUUUGAAAUGAGAUGGUCUUCUGGGAUGAUGAUGUGUUAUGAGAGGUGCCAGGAUUUGUUUUCCUCAGAUUCUACACCAUUUAAAACCAUAAGCCACAGGCCCUAAAGGAAUGAAGCACAAUUCUACCUUGGACUCACCUUCUUCAAGGCUCUGACACUUAGUGGGCCUUCUCAAUAAUGAUUCAGAGCAGUUCAUAGUUCAGGGAAUUAUAUUUAACAGAACUGGUCUAUCUAUAAUUCUGGAAUGCAGCUGAUCCCGAAGCACUUUUGAGGCAAAUAUUCAUUAUGCUUUGACGAUUCUCUUGGUGGCAAAGCCAUGACCAUUGAAAUUGAAACUCGUUAUGUCAGGUCGCUCUUGCUGUCAGUAUGCUGCGUAACAAACUGCCCCCCAAACUUGCCGCCUACAACAAGGAUGUCCUCUCAGUCACAGGUUUGUAGGGUGGCUUUAUGUCAGGCUGUGGGUUGGUUGGUCUUGUCUCUGGAGUAUGGGAUUUGAGUUGGGGUUGGAGUUGGGUUUGUUCUGUUUAUUUCCUCUUUCUUCUCUGACUAGCAGCUACUCUGACAUAUUCUUCUCAUGGUGAGUCACUGGAGUGUUAAGAGGCCAAGCCACACUGCAAAAGCACACUUGAAGUCUCUGCUUGCGUCAUGUCACACCUGGGAACGUUCUGUUGGCCAAAGCAGAUUGCAUGGCCAAACCCAACAUUUAUGGUGCAGGCAAGUAUGCUCUACCCAGAUUGGAAGAAACUGCAAAGUUACAAGGCAGAGAGCGUGGAUCUAUAAUUUUGAUACAGGGACAACAUGCAUCAUGAGCAAUGGUUCAGUCUACCAUACUGUAUUAAGCUUUCCUGGUUUUUCCCUCCUUCCCUCCCUCCCUUCUUCCCUCCCUCUCUCGUUCCCUUCCUCCUUCCCUUGCUCCCUCUCUCCCUCUCCUUCUCUUCUCUUCUCUUUCAUGAUAAAAUAUACAUAAUGUAAAAAAAGCCAUUUCUACCAUUUCUAAAUGUGUAGCUCUUUCUGUGACAUUAACUUCAUGCACAUUGUGAUCUAGCCAUCACCAUUAGCCAUCCCCAGAACUUUUUCCGUUUUCUAAACUGAAACUCUGUACUCAUUAAUACUGACUCCCUGUCCCCCUCCCCCAGCUCCUGGCAACUGCCAUUCUACUCUGUGUGUCUAUGAACUUGACUACCCUAGGUACCUCUUUCAGUAGAAUUGUACAGUAGUUAUCCUCUUGUAACUGGCUCAUUUCACUUAGCACAAUGUCUUCAAGAUUGGUCCUUGUUGUAGCACGUGUCAAAAUUUCUUAGCUCUGUAGGAUUGAAUAACAUAUUCCAUUAUAUGUAUACAUUGCAUUUUGUUUAUCUGCUCAUCCAUUGAUGAAUACUUGGGUUAUUUCUACUUUCCUGAUUCUUUGUUGCUGAGUUUUCAUGUUCCCUGUGGCUGGAGCAAUAUGACUUUGUCAAAUAAUCUUUUUCAAUCCAGAUCCUGGGUCCAACCUUGUCCAUUCAUUUACUCAUUAAUUCAAUGGAUACUUGUUAAGCACCUACUAUGUAACAGGAGCUGUUGUAAAGGAACCUGAAAUCUCUCAAUACUUAGAGUUGUGCUGUCCUAUUUGGUAGCCAAUAGUUACAUGUGGCUAUUUAAAUAAUUAAAGUGAAAUAAAAAUUAAAAAUGCAGUUUCUCAAUUGCAGUAGCUGCAUUUCAGGUGAUUGAUAGCGACAUGUGGCUGGUGGCUAUUGUAUUGGGCAGCACUGACUUCGAGAGUAUAGGGAAGGCUGUGUGGCGGUGAUUGAGUGACAACUUUCUCUUUCCAGAAACCCCUCUUAAACCACAAGACUAGGAACGGGUCACUUUGUGAGUGCAGGCUUGCCGCAGUUUACUUGUCCAUGUUUGUGCAACAAGCCAGCCGACCGGUGGUGUUGUUCAGCACGUAGCGAGGGUAAAUCAAACAAGUGAUGGAGCUUUUCUAGGUCAGUGGCACUUUUACCUCCAGGAGGCAUUUGACAGUGUCUGGAGGUAGUUUUGAUUGUAACAGCUUGGGGAGAGAGGGAGGUGUUACUGGCAUCUCAUCUAGUGGGUAGAGGCUGGGGAUGCUACUAAACAUUCUACAAUGCACAGGACCGUCCCUCUCCCAACCCCAAACAAAUAACUGUAUGGUCCCACAUGCUAAUGAUUGGAACUUUUAGAUGGGUUCCUGCUCCUGGUAAAAUGGUUACAGAUGAGGGCUGGGAACUGAGAGCUAUGGCCUCCAGGAUUCAGAAGAAGCUGGUGUGCAGUGAGAGAAAACAAAAUACAGAAAUGAAGAGAUUCCCGACCCUUGUCCCCGAGACCAACCUCUUCCAUUUGCUUGGGUUUGGUGAAGGACCUCCGUUUUAUAAAACUUUACUCUUUCACUUGAAUCAUUUUGAAAUGGGAUUAGCCUUUUGCUAAAUGUUCCUAAUACAGCAAAUUAUUUAGUAAUUCCUUCUUUUAGUUCUUCUAGUUAUAUCGCGUGUAAACUGGGGAUUACGUUCAGAGCAGUCCUAUGAAAUGUCUAACACACACGAGUCGUGUCCUGACAGCAAGCUCACAGAGAUGUUAGGACUCAACUCCAAAUAGACUGGAACCUUCCCUGUGAAUCAAAUAUUUUUUCGAAUAAGCAGUGGAGCUUCUUCAUAUUUUACUGGUGGCCUCUUGGCUGGUGAUGAUCUUAGUCCUGCAUAUUGUUUGUGGAAACCAAAGGGCUUCAGUAGAAUGCCUUUUCAAAAUCUUUUUUUUUUUUUUUAAGAUUUUAUUUAUUUAUUUAAGAGAGAGAACACAUGUGCACAGGGUGGGGGAGGAGCAGAGGGAGAGGGAGAGAAGAGUCUUAAGCAGACUCUGCACUGGUUGUGGAGCCCAGCACGGGGCUCGAUCUCAGGACAGGGAGAUCAUGACCUGAGCUGAAACCGAGACUCGCCCACUCAACCGAAUGUGCCAUGCAGGUGCCGCUGCCUUUCCAAAAUCUUAUCUCAGCAUGCAGAGACAGCAUCUGAGAGUUUUCUGCAUUGCAUCACAUGUAGGGACUGAAAGCUGUCUGUGUACUUUCAGGAAGCCUGUGAUUUUAAACAAGAGUGCGUUUUAAUCACUUGGAAACUGUAUGAAUUGCAUGAUUUCCAAAAAUCAAAAUAGCUCGAGACUUUGAUUUUAUCACUCAAGAAAUCCUUGAAGAAUGUCAAUGGGAGUGACACAGCCUUGUCCUGGAGAUUUUCAUCAAGAGGAGUUAAUGCAUACCCAUAUGAACUUUAAAGUCCUAUGUAAGUGUAAAGCAUUUCAGGAUAUGCUGCUAAUUGUCACAUCCCCCAAGGAAAUAAUUCAGCAUAAAUUCACAAACAGUACAAUAAAUAUACUGUGAAAGCAAACCAAAAAAUGCUAUUUCAGUGGUCUGAUUUAGAAUAUCCAUGGUGGCUAUGAAAACAAAAUGUGUAUAAAGAAAUAAAACGUUUGUCUUAAAAAAAAAGAAUAUUCAUAUUUACUUUCAUUUAAAGUGAAGAAGGAAUAGAGAUGAAUAAAAAAUUUAGACAGUAAAAAGUGUAUAGAGUGGAAAGUCUCUGAUCUCCUGAAUUCUCCAGUUCUCCCAGAUGCAACCACCUUUAGUGGUUUCUUUUUUUUUUUUAAGAUUUUAUUUAUUUGAGAGAGAGAGAAGGAAUGAGAGCAAAUGGUGGGGAGAGAUAGAGAAGGAAGGAGAGAAUCUUAAGCAGACUCCACGCUGAGCAUGGAACCCAGUGCGGGACUUGAUCUCACAACUCUGAGAUAAUGACCCAGCAGAAAUCAAGAGUUGGAUGCUGCACCGACUGAGCCAUCCAGGCGCCCCAAUGGUUUCUUGUUCUAGAAAUUGUUUAUACUAUAUAAGCAUAUUCCUUUUCCUCUUCUGUUGUUCUCCCUCCUUUAAAAAAAACUGUGUACAAGAAAACAUAUAGAGAACAGAAUGUGUGUGCAUGUGUGUAUGAUAUUAUGUAUUUAUAAUAUAUGGCACAUAUGUGUACACACACACGUAUAUACUGUAUGUAUUUUUUGAUGAUAUGUAUAUAUCAGUUUCUGCUCCUUGUUAUUUACAACUGAUAUUUGCAACUCUCUUUUGGAGUUCUUUUUAUGUUAGUGCUGAGAUUGGCUUCAUGCUUUUCAGCGACUUGGAGUUUGCCUUCUUGUCAGUGUUCCAUACAUAAUUUAUUUAACUGGUCCCCUGCUGAUGAACAUUAAGGUUCUUUCCAGCCUUUUGUUUUUACAAAUCAUGCUGCAGUGAGUAAGAUAUCCUUCCUUGUACCUUGAUCUUUAUGUACAUAUAAUUGUAUUUAUAAAAUAAAGUCCCAAUAGUUUUCUAGUUCAAAAGGUAGACACAUUUUAUGUCUUUAUUAUAUAUGGCCAAAUUGCCCUUCCAAAAAGAUGCACCAUUUUCUACUUUUACCACCUGCAUAUGGACAUGCCUAAAAUUUCAUCCCCUUCUUUCUUCACCAUCCUUUCCUUCCUAUUUCUCUCUCCAACUUCCCUUCCUACCCUCAGACCCAGUCUAGCAGUUGGGACACCUUCGAGGGGAAGGGCAUACUUGUGAUCCAAGUAUGUAGAUCACAAAUUGCAGGAGCCUUCUUGAAAGACACAAACCUGACCCCCUUGUGAGCACUGAGGCGAAUUUCCUCCCUGGUAGGGGUUUGCAGUGCCGGACAUGGGUUCCCCUUUGCCCCCUUUAGCUGAUGGCCCAGCCUCAUCUCGGUGAAUUCCUCUUUCUCGUUCAUUCCCUGGGAGGCUUUUAAGAGCUGGUCCUCAUCUCUAGCGCCCGAGAAAUCCAUAUCUGUUCACUUGUCUUGGGUGCUUGCCAGUACUUAGCGAUAGGCAUGGCUGUCCCCUGCAUUCUUGCCAUUUCAGAAGAAGUGGUAUCUGUUUGCAAAGUACAGUGUCAAGCAACGGUUUCCAGAUGACUGCUUGAGUCUGGCAUUUCCAUUAACACUUUCAAUCGGGAGAUGGUUUCUCUAGCUCAGCUGGCAGGGGACCCAGGUUUUCAUCCCACUUGCUCUCCUGUAUCUUUCCCAGCCUUUGACCCCAGCUGGGUUCACCCCUAACUUGAUUCUGUGUGCUGUGGAGUUUAACUGGAACACUUAAAAAAAAAAAAUCUUUUCACCAUGGCAUUGUUGACAAAUCCUCUCUAGUGCUCUUCUAUUUUUGAGCAGGAAAUGACAUUCUGGGCUCUUCCUUGCUCUCCUCCCAACGUUUUAUUAUAAAACUUUUAAACAGCACAGUUAAAAGAAUUUUAUCAUGAACACCUGUAUGCACGCUAAUAGAUUUUGCCAUCAACAUUUUACUGUACUCGAUUUAUUGCAUAGCUGUCCUGGUAUUCAUAAUUUGGGGCUCUUUUUGUGAUGACUUGUGAUAACUCUCUGGCUCUUCGGGGCAUCCCCAGCAUGGCUUGUUAGGAGUCUGACAGCGAGAGGACCCAGAAUUGGAAAUGCUAAUGGCAAGGAGAGUAUUUUAACAAGAUAUAAAACAAUAGCAGGGUAUUCUUUCUUCUGCAAGACUAACCUUUAGUAGCUCAAGAUCACACCAAAGUGACAAAAGCUUAAGUGCUGGUACCUGUUCCCAGAGUUCCGAUGAAGGCUUUUUCCUGACCACGAAAUCUCUGCCACCUCAUACGAUCUUGGAAUUUCUCCAUCUUGUGAUUAAGAGAAAGAGCAGGGGCACCUGGGUGGCUCAGUCAGUUGAGCAUCAGACUCUUGAUUUCAGCUCAGGUCAUGAUCUCGGGGUCCUGUCAUCCAGCCCUGCAUCAGGCUCCAUGCUCAGCUUGAUUCUCUCUCCCUCUCCCUCUGCCCUCCCCACCCCCGCUCUCAUGCGCUCUCUCUCUCUCUCUAAAAUAAAUAAAUCUUUUUUAAAAGAGAGAGAGAAAGGAACACCUGGGUGGCUCAGUCGGUUAAGUGCCUAUCUUCAGCUCCAGUCAUGAUCCCAGAGUCCUGGGAUCGAGUCCCACAUCAGGCUCCUUGCUCAGCGGGGAGCCUGCUUUUCCUGCCUCUCCCCCUGCUUGUGCUCACUCUCUCUCUCUCUGACAAAUAAAAAAAACUUAAAAAAAAGAGAGAGAGAGAGAAAGGGCAAAGCCAGGAGUUUAUGACCAUUGAAGUACAAUAGAUUUGUGAUUAAAUCCCAUUGCUGCCACAUACGAAGCUUCAGUUUACUCAUCUGCAAAUAGGAAUAAUCUCCUUAGGUUUUUUUGAGAAUCAAAUGAGGCAAUACACAUAAAGUGUCUGGCACAUAGUUGCUUCUCCCUAAAAUCCAUGAAAUCUAUUACUUUUAAAAAUAAAAAUAUUUUGGGGAGCCUGGGUGGCUCAGUCGGUUGGGCAUCUGCCUUUGGAUCUGGUCAUGGUUUGGGAUCCUGGGAUAGAGCCUGGCAUAGGACUUCCUGCUCAGUGGGGAGUCUGCUUCUCCCUCUCCCUCUGUCCCCAAUUGUGCUCUCUCUCUCUCUGUAAUAAAAUCUUUAAAAAAAAUAAAAAUAUUUGUAAAAAUCCAUGAAAUUGAAAUGGAUUAAAAGUCCAUGAAAUUGAGCACUUUAUGGCAUGUACCAAAUGCUUAAUAUGUUGUGGCCUCUGUUCUAAAUGCUGUCCAUGUACUAAUUCAUUUCAUCUCACAAAAGUUUAUGAAGGCAGCACUACUAUCAUUUCCUUCUUACAGAUGAGUAUACUGAGGCACAGAGAGGUUUAGGAGCUUGCCCAAGGUCACAGGGUUAGUAAAAAGCAAUGCCAGGCUUGCAGCCCAGGCUCAAUGACAGGACCCCGAGAUCAUGACCUGAGCUGAAAUCAAGAGUCUGAUGCUCAACCGACUGAGCCACCCAGGUGUUCCUUUCUCUCUCUCUUUUAAAAAAGAUUUAUUUAUUUUAGAGAGAGAGAGAGAGAGAGAGCGCAUGAGAGCGGGGGUGGGGAGGGCAGAGGGAGAGGGAGAGAGAAUCAAGCUGAGCAUGGAGCCUUGAUGCAGGGCUGGAUGACAGGACCCCGAGAUCAUGACCUGAGCUGAAAUCAAGAGUCUGAUGCUCAACCGACUGAGCCACCCAGGUGCCCCUGCUCUUUCUCUUAAUCACAAGAUGGAGAAAUUCCAGGAUCGUAUGAGGUGGCAGAGAUUUCGUGGUCAGGAAAAAGCCUUCAUCGGAACUCUGGGAACAGGUACCAGCACUUAAGCUUUUGUCACUUUGGUGUGAUCUUGAGCUACUGAAGGUUAGUCUUGCAGAAGAAAGAAUACCCUGCUAUUGUUUUAUGUCUUGUUAAAAUACUCUCCUUGCCAUUAGCAUUUCCAAUUCUGGGUCUUCUCGCUGUCUGGAGUUCUGGGUGACCUCGCUGUAUAGGAAUCAUCGGGGGGUUUUCCGGCAGUGCUAUAUCAUUUAUCAACUCAUAGACAUCUGGGAUGCUAGAAGUUUCCCCUGGUCCGCUAUUCAGAAUCGUUUGUGAAGAGAAGGGCAGAAGAUGGAAAUCAAUAUGAUUCCCGAGUCUUGAACAGACCUGGGUGUUUUGAGGAGAAGCCUUGCCCCAGUUGGUCCCGUGAGGUUGGAAGUUGUGACCCUGACAGCAUCUGUGUGUCUGAGAAACAGUCCUCAGGAAGCUAUGUUCUGCAUGUACCUCAGGCAGCAAAGAAGAUGGAAAUAAAUCCCUCAGCUUUUCUCUUCUCACUGGAGCUCCUGCCUCAAUUCCAAGUCAGUCCUUUCCCCUUUUCCAUGAGUUCCAGGUGCUGAUGUGUCUUUAACUGCCCUGCACGUUUGCUAACCUCCCUUUCUAAUUGAGAGGCCAUAGUUUUUAAUGACAUUAUUUUGCUUUCAUUGUAUUUGCUUUGGGAGUUACCUUAUUCUUCUGGCAGCUGAUUCUAUGUCUGCUUAACAGAGGUGAUAUAAAGUUUCCAUUUAAAAUACAUUUAAUGACAUACAGAAAAACUGCCUUUUUUUUUUUUAAAGCAAGAUGGAAUCGUACAAUGAAAGGUUCUCAGAUGUGGCAGAAGUCACAAUGAUGAAAUAGAAAUGAUAGAGACUUUUUUUUUUUUUAAAGAUUUAUCUAUUUGAGAGAGAGUGUGUGUGUGCGUGGGGUGUGGGGCGGGGUAGAGGCAGAAGGAGAAAGAGGAUCCUCAAGCAGACACCCUCCUGAGUGCAGAGCCCUAUGCAGGGGCUCCAUCCCAGGACCAUGAGAUCAUGACCUGAGCCGAGAUCAAGAGUCGGAUGCCCAACCGACUGAGCCACCCAGGUGCACCCCCCCCAGCCCCCCAGAGAGGCUUUUUUUAAACACACCAAAUGACCUUCAAGGGCUGUCUGUCUAGUCUCCAGUGACAGUGGAUGAUCUGGACAGAGGGAACACUUAUAAGGUCAUUGCAUCUGUGUGGAAGAUGCUUGGAAAAUCAUGUAUACCCUGCAUUUAUUUCUUGGCUAGGAAAAAUAGACGCAGUAGGUUCAGGCCUCCUUGGAAGGUUUUAGAGCUAGGCUAAUUAUGCCUUGGGGCUUUGGCCAAGCAUGUUUGUUUUCAUGAAACCAUCCUUGGUAUCAUCAGUAGCCAGAAUAGAUGAGUCGAAUGCAGAUGUUUCCAAAUUCUCAUUGAAAAAAAAAUUUUUUUUUAAUGUGGCUGGAUAUCUAAGAAAUGGAUACUAUAUAUCUUUUAGAUGGGGUGGCUUCAGAAGUCAGGAACAUCAAAAAGGGGCAUCCUUAGGGAGUGCCUAAAAGUGAAUCCAGGAAUAGCCUGAGGAUCUGCAUGAUCCUAAGGGAUUCUGUUUAAGGAGAUUUAGGUGUGCAUCUGCUCAAAAAAUCUGUCUGAGUUAGCACUAAAUAACCUUAAGUUUGGAAAGGUGGGAAGGUAAGGACAAGAUUCUUACCUUUGAAAGACAACCAGGUAGAUACUCACUGGUAAGAACUUGUUGGCAAUUGAUGGAGCCCUGAGAAUGGGAUCAAAUGGUUGGGUGUAUGGGGGGUGGGGUGGGGGGAGAUUGGGAGAUUUGUAGGAGUCUAAAGGGCAACUCCUUUCUUUGUAUCUCUUGGUAAGAGAGGAGCCCCUGAUUCAUGCCCCUGCUCUAUGAAGAGUUCUUCCCUUUGAUUUAUUCCCCAACACAGGGAGAUGAGGCCCUUUUGGAAUGCCAAGAUGAGCCUGUCUUCCCUUUUUCUUACCCUUGUUCCUGGUGCUAGCAUCCGAUUUUGAUAACAGGAUGGAAGUGACUUCCUCCAGCAGUUAGGGGCUGAGGUCAUCAGUUUGGUCAGCAGGUCAUCAGUUUGGCUUCUCUCAAGUCCUGAUGUUUUUUAGGUUUCCCCAUAGAUCUGUGACCGUAAGGUAAUGAUGGGGGGCAGAGGUACCCUGGGAGAGAGAGACAGAGUAGUAAAAGACACGGGCAGGGUGGUUACUAGGUUAAUGGGGGGAAAAUUGUAUCUGUUUCUCGGUCUGCAAGGUGGUGUCUCAUGGCUGCUUUGCAGGGAUGUGAUGUGAGAAGAGUUAAUAUGUUAACCAUCUUAAAAGGACCAGACUCAUGGAGUGGUUACAUGUCAGGAUUCAGUAAUCCCACUGCCUUUCAUUGGAAGCCUGGCUUAGCCAUUUACUGGCCUGUGGUCUUGGUUUAAGUUUUAUGAGCUAUAUUUGUCUAAUACAUGAAAAAAUGUUGACCUUACAUCAAGAGAGUUUCUUAAAUACCUACUGUAUGCCUGGCACUGUGCCCGAUCUUGAGAUAAAUGGAUGAAAAAAACAGGCAAAGCUCUCUGCCUUUAUGGGAUUCCCCCCCCCCCCCAUUUAGGAUUGUUGUGAGAUUUAAAUAAAAUAGUGUAUGAAAGAAAGCUUGGCAUAGGCUCUUAAAAUUAUAAAGUAAUUAUUAUGGAAAAGUUAUGAAAUGCCCAUCCAUUGGGCAUCCAUUGGGUUAUCAUUAUUUAACUCUGGGAACAAACUACUUCAUUAUUUUAUACACAGUAUUUAAAAAAAACCAUGGUAUUCUUGUAACAUUCUUUUUUUAGUCUGCUCAUGAGAUGAAACCUAACUUCUCUGCCCAUUGUGUCAUAACUUUUUUUUUUUUUUAGAUUUUAUUUAUUUAUUCGUGAGAGACAGAGAGAGAGACAGAGGCAGAGGGAGAAGCAGGCUCCCUGCGGAGCAGGGAGACGGAUGCGGGACUCGAUCCCAGGACCCUGGGAUCAUGACCUGAGCCGAAGGCAGACGCUUAACCGACUGAGCCACCCAGGUGUCCCGUGUCAUAACUUUUUUUAAGAUUAUUUAUUUAUUCAUUUGAGAGAGAGAGAGAGCGAGAGAGAGCAAGCAUGAGUGGGGGGGGGGGGCAAAGGGAGAGGAAAAAGCAGACUUGCCGCUGAGCAGGGAGCCCGAUGUGGGGCUCGAUCCCAGGACCCUGGGAGCAUGACAUGAGCCGAAGGCAGACGCUUAACCGACUGAGCCACCCAGGCGUCCCGUGUCAUGACUUUUUAAUCAAUAUUUUGAUGUAACAAAGCUCAUCUUCCUCAACAACUGAGUUGGAAAGUACAUUUGGGGUGUGUGUGUGUGUGUAUGUGUAAAAAUCCUGGGAAAACUUGAAUGCACUUGACUGAUACAGUUUAAUAUCCAUGAGAACAAACAAGCUAAAUAUGCUUACUUCUUAUCCUAAAACUACUGAUAUGAGAGAAUUAAUAGAAGAAAAACAACCUCUUGAUGAGUAUUAUGCCAACCAAAUCAUGGAAACUGUCCCACUUGGAGAAAUAAUCUUUUCCAAAUGAUUUAGCUGAUUGCUCAGGUGGUUCCCAAGCUUUUAGCUCCAACCAGGCAAUUUGAUGUAAGCUUCUUUCUCCUCAGCACAAUAGAACAUUCUUGAUGUUUAUCAGGCAGAAACUUUAUUAAGGGAAGCCUGACAGGAAGGUUGAGGACAAGAGGAAUGGAGUCUGUCUUUAUAGGAAAGCUUGUUUUUUUUAAACACGUAAAAUGACAUGAACGGAUAUAGUUCCAUGCUAUCAGUUUGGCUCCUGACUAUAUUGGAAAUGAGGAUACCUGUUCUCCAUAGAGUGCCUUUGAGGGGCUGUUACACUAGACCUUCCUGAUCUCAUUGGCAUCUAUAAAAGGGUUCCAUUUUAAUAUUAUUUCCCAAGAUACUGAGGAUCACUGGUAUACAAAGGUAUUUCUGCUGUGUUAGCCAGCCAUGUAGAAUGCACAAGAUACUGUUCACAGGGGUUUUUUGUUUUGUUUUGUUUUUUUGGCUUUAUUUUUUUGUUGUCAAUUUACAUAAGGAAUGUUCAAGAUCCACCUCACUUAUUGAGUCCUGGCAGUGUAUAUUCACUUACGCACAUUCAGUGUUGCUUAAGGAACUUGAGUUACAAAUAACAAUAGUAACAUGUAGAAAGAAUGGGUUGACUACCUGAAUGAAUUCAAAGAGGAAAGGGUAAGUGCAAGCUGGGUAAGUAGUACCAAGCUCAAGGUGACUUUACUGUUUAUAGAAUCGUGUCAAGUAUUUUUUUUUUUUGACUGUACAGCGACCAGUUAGUUUCCUGUCUGUUUGUCCUACUUCUGAUUCAUCUCAGCAAGUGGAAAUAGCCUGAUGUAGGGAUAUACCAGAGGGAAACAGAAAUACCCCUACCCCUCCUCGUCUGGAAGCACGGUGUCAUGGAAUUUCAAAAGGUUAUCCUGGGAUUAUAUGUUAUUUCAAAGCUGAAGAGGAACCUGAUUCACUUAUUCACCCAUUUCGUCUCCCACUAUUUGUGUGUGUGCCAUGUCCAGCUGGCCCAUGCUCUUGCUGCCAAGCUUAUAGCUUAGAGACGAAGUAGGGGAAGUCAGUAAGGGUGGUGGGUUAUUAAUAGACAAGGAAGGAAUGCAUGUAACUGGCAGAUUUAAACUUCUUUCUCAGAAUAUUUUUCCUUGCAGUCACAUAGGAGGAAGGAUGGAAAAUGAAAUGGAAACCAAGGCGGGGAAAUUAUAUCGAGAAGUGGGAGAACUGAAGUGGGGGAAGACUACCAAAAACCCAUCUCUGCACAGUUCUACCCAAGGGCAAUCUCGUGUAUAUUUGUGUGGACAGCGAGACCCGUAAUUCUGGCUUCAAACCUGGGUGAUUUUCUCCUCUGUGAUUUCAGGGUAAAAUAUUGUAAUUAAAUCAUGAUUAGGUACUUUUUCGCUCCUUUGGAGUCAUUCCAUAGGACAGACCUCUUUUUUGUUUGGUGACCACAGGGACCAGUGACAUCCUAAUCUUCUUAGAAUUGUUUGUACUUAUCAGUUUGUUAGAAACCACUUUAAAGACAGAUGUCUGCCCACCCUUCCCCCAGCUCUCUUCUCGAGAGAUGUCAGACCCCUCAUGAGGAAUCUGUGAAAUGUGAACUAUGACUUGGUUAUAUGAAGUUCAGUGAAAUAGCUGGAGGUUUUCCCAGCAGAAGGCUGAAGCAGAAUUGUGUAGACAUCACUUUCUCUGUAUCUAGGCAAGCCUUUCUGGGAGCUUUUCCACAUGGGGAAUCCAGGCUCAAAGAAAAACCAGCUUGACUAUCUAAAAACCCAUCUGGGGUGAAUUUAGAUCACUCCUGAAACGCACCAGGCUGGGGUUGCUGGUUUGAGAAGAACACAAACAUAUUUGGUUAUGUUGUUAUUGUUAGUAUUGAGAAAAAACGUAUACGUUUGUGUGUUAAGACUUUAUUAGGUACCUACUAUGCGCAGAUGUGUUUUGCCCUGGGGAAUUGCAGAUGGGCAGAAAAGGGAUGUUCUUUAUGGUGAAUCAAAGAAUUGUGCAGAUAAUGAGAAUAAUGACAAUUUGAAUAAAGUGCUAAUAGGAAAGAUAGAGCAUACUAAGGGAGAAGAUUGAAGGGACCCAACACGGGGACAGUGGAGGUCAGGGGAAGUUUAGAAGCCCUGUGUUUGAAGUGAGUCUGAAAUAUAUAUUUAAGAUUUUUAUUUAUUUAUUUGACAGAGAGAGAGACAGCGAGAGAGGGAACACAAGCAGGGGGAGUGGGAGAGGGAGAAGCAGGCUUCUUGCUGAGCAGGGAGCCUGAUGUGGGGCUCGAUCCCAGGACCCCAGGACCACGACCUGAGCUGAAGGCAGACGCUUAAUGACUGAGCCACCCAGGUGCCCCUGAAAUAUAUAUAAGAUUUUAUUUAUUUAUUAGAGAGAGAGAGAGAUGGGGGGGGCAGGAGCAGAGCAGGAGGGAGAAAGAAUCUCAAGCACACUCUUAGCUGAGUGCAGAGCCUGACACAGGGCUGAGUACCACGACCCUGAGAUCAUGACCUGAGCCGAAAGCAGGAGUUGGACACUUAACUGACUGAGCCACCCAGGCGCCCCAAGUCUGAAAUAUUUUUUAAGAGGUACCCAAAUAAAGGGGUCGGAGAGUUCCAGGUUGGGUGUCUUUGGAGCUACUGUGCCCUCAGUGGCUUCUGGAGCGUUUGAAACCUUAUUUGUGCUUUGGCAGAUGUGAGAAGCACUAGAAUUCUUUGCAUGCUGGCCAAGGGACAAAAUGUGUAUUUUUGCUCAUUAGGACCAUGGGUGUUGACUUUUUACCUCACAUAGCUGGGUCAUAUUAUGUAGAGUCCUGUUGUCUUUUGUAGGACUAUUGUAUGUCCCUUUACCCCCGCCAGGGAGGACAUUUAAGGCCAGGCUAGCCCCUGCUUCCCGGAGUAGCCUCUGCAGAGAAUGUUCAGUUUUUACCCUGCCUCAGAGUAUUUUGUGCGAAAAUACUAAAUGACUUCAUCAUUGCAACACGAGAGUUCUAUUUGCAAACCCUAGGCAUUGUAGGACUGUGCCUCUUCCUGAGAUGGGCUGCACAUGUGUCUUUGAUGCCAAAACGAGCAGGUCUUUAUUGAAUAUAAACACCAUUUAAAAUACUGCCAAGGUGAUUUCCCCGUGCUGGUGUUCCUGAAUGUUAAGAAUACUGAGUUAGGUUUAGAAUGUCUUCUGUUGUACCUGGUUUUUCCUGUGCACGUCUUAAAAACCUAGUUUCGAUUUCAGGGUUUUACGAUUUUUUGUGUGUGUUUUGGAAGGGAGGGAGAGGGAGGUGAUCUGAAAGAAAAUUAUGUAAAUCCUAAAUGUACAAUAGAUGAGAUAUCAAAAAGUCAACAAACCUAAGUAGCACCAGCCCAAUCUGGAUCUAGAAGAAAAACCAGGUUGGCAACCAAGAAGCCCCCUUUUGGGCUCCUCCCCAAAGGGAACCCCACUAUCUUGACCUCUGUCCCCACUGAUGAGUUUUGCUUGUUUGAGGACUUUGUGUAAAUGUGUUCGUUCAGCAUUUGUUCUUUGCACCUUGCCCCAUCUCCUCCUCCACGUUAUGCUUCAGCUUUGUCCAUUUUGCAUAUAGUGGUAGUUCAUUCAUUUGCAUUUUUGUAUAGCAUUAUAUACAGCAUGGAGAUGCCAACAUAUACCCAUGUGUUCCACUGUUGAUGACAUUUGUGUUGCUUGUUGUUGGGGAUUAUUAUGAAUAACGUUACUGUCAUUGUGGCCACUCAUGUCUUUUGGUACUCAAGGAAUGCACUUGCAUUUCUUUGGGGGGGUAGCUGGAGUGGAAAUGCAGGAUCGGGUCAUAGACUAUGCCUUUGUCUAGUUCGUCUAGAUGAUUCCCAGUGGCACUGCAAGGUGCUUGCUCCAAUUUACAUUUCCACUGGCAGUAUAUGAAUUUCCCUUGCUUAACAUUUCCAGCAGCACUUGGUAUUGGCAAUCUUUUAAUUUCAGCCAUUUAGAAUAUGCCUACUUUAUUGUUUUAAAUUGAUCAUUAUGGCAUCUGGGUGUUUGUUGAAACGCUUCAACAGCGUUUAGCUUCAACCCUGAGUGAAGGGCUGUGGGGUGACCUCCUGAGGCCUUAACUGAAUGUGGGGCCGUCGUUUUGGACCUCAUCCUCCAGAAUCUGAUAGACCAAGGUCCCAAAGCCCGUGGCAAACUGUGUGAAUUUACACAGCUAUUCAAGCUCUUUGAGUCUCAGUCUCCUCCUCUGCAUAAUGGGAAUAAUUUGAAAUUCCUCAUGGAGCUGCUCUGAAGAGUGUAUGAAUCAACCCACCAAAAAGCCCAUAGUUCCUGGCCUAUAGUUACCAUAACAAAAGAAGUUAUGAGGUCGCUGUGAGUCAUAGGAAGAAGCGGCUGGCUACAUUGCUUUGGAACACGCCUAUAUUUAUUUUCGUUUAUCUUUUUUUAGGGGAAACAAAGUUAUUUCACUCAGAGCGUCCGACGUCAAAACCCAAUAUAUCCUUUCUGGAAACUACCUCGUUGGUUUGAUGUUCAGGUGGCUCAGUGUGUUGUUUUGAAGGGUGGCAUGUUUACGGCUCAGCAGGACCAUAAACACUCCUCCGGCCCAGGGCUGCUCUGGAUUUGUGAGCAGUUGACACAAGGGCAGCGGAGAAGGAAAUCAUCCCCAGCUCGUGUUUUGACACAGAGGAGUUUUGUUUUUCCUUUGUCAACCCUCUGCAUCCUCCACGGAAAACAAACAAAACACUCCAGCAAUGGUAAAUAUUGUGACGGCAGCCAGCAAUGUUUCCUUUUCCGCCACGCAGGGUGACCGAGGGUGGCAUUUUAAAAGACCCGUGGUUGUCAUUCUGAUACUUGCAAGAGCGCCGGCGCAGUCCCAGAAAUGAAAGAGGAGACGUGCAGGAAGCGAAGACCCGCAAAAUCAGUGUUUCUUUUGGGGGACAUUGUGAGCCUGUCAAGGAGGAAGCAGUGGAGGGCAGUGAUGGGGGCUGUUUGCAUUUCCUCCCUUGGGACACCCAGAUUUCUCAUGCUACCCCUCCUGAGCCUUACGAGAGACCCCUAAAGACUGUGGAGCGGCCUCCCCGGUGGCUUUGUUGUCACUUCGCUCAGAGCGUGGCCUCACUCUGCCUCCUGUGUCCUGCCUGGGCCAGACUCCUCUCCAACCUACUGGGGAACCGGCCAGGCCAGGAGGGGAGGGGUGGGGGAGCCCCCAGCUCACAGUUUCCCAGAGUUUGCCUUGAAUUUUGUCAUUAAAGGUUUCAUUCGCUUCAUAAAGUGUAUCCAUAAUAUGUUUUCUUGACCUUUCCCACCUCUUUUCUUUUGAAAGAGAAGAAAAGAAGAGCCAGACAAGAGAGGGAGGUUCACACGGCUGGGUUCUUGGCGUUCACAGACAGGGGUGCAUCCGUCGACAUUGUUUCUUUUUAGUUAUAGUUACAUGUUUUUUUUUUUUUUAAUUCUUAUGUUAAUCCCCUACAUUACAUCAUUAGUUUUAGAUGAAGUGUUCCAUGAUUCAUUGUUUGUGCAUAACACCCAGUGCUCCAUGCAGAAUGUGCCCUCCUCAAUACCCACCACCAGGCUAACCCAUCCUCCCACCCCCUCCCCUCUAGAACCCUCAGUUUGUUUUUCAGAGUCCAUCGUCUCUCAUGGUUCGUCUACCCCUCCGAUUUCCCCCGCUUCAUUCUUCCCCUCCCGCUACCUUCUUCUUCGUCUUCUUCUUUUUUUUUUUAGUUACAUGUUUUUUUAAGUAAUCUUUACGCCCAACAUGGGGCUGGAACUCACGACCCCCGAGGUCAAGAGUUGCAUGCUCCUCCAACCGAGCCAGCUAGGGUACCCCUCUCAUUUCUUUUUAGUUGCCCUAUUUGGGGCAAGGUCCUUCAUUUCUCCAGGACUCAAUUCUUUCAUCUCUCUAUGGAGGCAGCGAUGCUAGCAUUGAUUACGAGGGUUAUGUUAAAAAUGACAGAUGUUACAAAAUAAAACGUGAGAAUGGCGCUUACUUUGAGUGCUUGGCCUACAUCCAUUCGUUAGUCCUUACAGCCGCCUGUGGGCUGUUUUGCUCUAAGGUACAGAUGAAGACACUGAGGCAGAGAGUGUUUUAAGGGACAUGGCUAACGCAGGUUCCUCAGAUAAUCAGUGGCAGGGCUGGGGUUUGGAUGGGAGGCAGUUCAGUUUCAGAAUCUGUCCUUCAUCCCAGUAUUGCCAUGUUCCCACUGGUCCUCCAAAGCAGGCAUCCCACCCCUCAUUCUUCUCUCUAUAGACAACCAUGGCACAGUUUGGCCUAACUCUUCCUAAGUAAUUUGAGGCAACGGAACUGGGAUCGCGCCAUCCACUCUCUCUGUGUUUCUUGCUUGUUGCAUGAUACGCUGUGUCAUAAAUAUUUUCCAUGUGCAUACCUCUGGUUCUACCUAGGUAAAAAAUUAACCACCUUGGUGAGAGCUGUUCAUUUAGCCCAGCCUCGGUGGGGGUGGGGGGCGUGGGGGGCUGGCUUUCUUUCAGAGCAACCCGGUUUGAGCUGGCUUGCUGCCUAGGAACUGGCUUUCUUUCCCACAAAGUAGCUUCUGAGAAAAACUGUGGGAAACAAAUGACUUCAGAAGUUUCUAGAAACAAAAGUGCAAACGCUUAACAAAUUUCAUCUGGUCCAAAAAUGUUAUUACCCCAAAUCUUGAAAAUAUUUUCUUACAGGAUUAUUCCCCCAAGGUUGUUAAUCUGAGAACGAUCCGGGCCUAUUAGGCCUGACUUUUUGCCCCCUGAUAUUGGAGUCCUGUGUAGCUGAGUGCCAGAGUGUGGGGGUUGAGGUAAAAAUAUUUCUGUGGAGGAAAUGAAGUCAUUUUAUUUAAUAUUAUAGCGACCACUGGGACUCUAUCAUUUCAGAAAGGGGAUGGCAGUUCACCCAGCCAAGAUGAAGCUUUACAAUUGGUCCAAGAGUCCUUUUAAAAGGUAGCAGUAGGCUUUGGUAGCCGCAAAUCUUUAUUCAUUGUAUCUGCCCUGAAGAUUCUUGCUGUAGUUAAGUUUUACCAAAUGAACACUGUUUUUCUAGAUAAAUGUUACUGUAACAUUAUCCGCCUCUUUCUUUUCCUGGUUGACAUUCAAAGCCAUUUUACUUGAGGUGUUACCGAGUGGCAGUUUCUAUGUUGAGGCGAUUGUGUGAGACCCGCUUCUCUGGCCCUGAGCGCCCAGCACCCCGUGGAGACAAUCCUUCAUUUGUUCGCAGAAGGAAGGAAUGUGCCACUCAUUGUAAACCAGCCUCCCUGGAUACACCUGUAGGGCUGGUUUCACUUCUGAGCUCCGGACACAGGCAGAGUUCACCUUGUUCUGGCAACGGAAUGUCAACAGUGACUGGAUCCUUGAGGAGCUGGGGUUUCUGUGUCCUCCUUCCGCUGGUGAAGUCUCGAGUGUGGUGAGAGCGCACAAGCAGGGGGAGUGGCAGAACGAGAGGGAGAAGCAGGCUCCCUGCUAAGCAGGGAGCCCAACACAGGGCUCUGUCCCAGGACCCUGGGACCAUGACCUGAGCCGAAGGCAGACGCUUAACCGACUGAGCCACCCAGACAUACCUACAUCUACAUUUUCCCUCCUCACCGCUAACUGAACAUGAGCAUUUCUUUCAGUUACCAACUUGGGCAAGAGCACACAGGAGCAUGACAAUACCCAUGACUUUGUCAUCAAUAGAAAUCUCAGAUAUUUUGAUAUGGCAUUCUGGUUUUGUUUAUGUCUACCAUUACCGAGAAAUUACAGUAGUUAUUAGACUCACCACUAUUUAUUUGCUACUCAGUACCUUCAUUAAGAAAAAAAAACCAUAAUUAUAAAUGUGUUCUUAUUUCAGUAAAAUUGGUUUCCUCCGUACUCGUGUGCAUCUUAUUCGACUCAUUUAUAAACAUCUUUCCAUCAUUCUGAGAAAGGCCUGUAGGCUUCAUCUGACUGCACAAAAAAGAUGAAGAGGGAGUUUUUUUUUUAAAGAUUUUAUUUAUUUAACAGAGAGAAACAAGUGAAGGAGGGAACACAAGCAGGGGGAGUGGGAGAGGGAGAAGCAGGCUUCCCGCCGAGCAGAGAGCCUGAUGCGGGGCUCGAUCCCAGGAUCCUGGGAUCAUGACCUGAGCCGAAGGCAGACACCUGAUGACUGAGCCACCCAGGCGCCCCUGAAGAGGGAGUUUUAAAGCUGAUCAUAUAAACUGAUUUGAAUCUCCAGAGCUAUCCAGUCUAAAUAUAAUGGGAAGCACAUGUAAUUAAAAUUUUUCUGGUAGCUACUAUAAAAGGAAUAAAAUGGAACAGGCUUAAUGCAUAUUAAUAAUAUAAUCUUAUUUCAAUAAUUAAAUUUUUUUUGUUAAUUAUAAUUAAGUUUUGACCUAUUUAGUGAAAUCUGUUCAAAAUAUUAUCAUUUCAACAGAUAGUCAAUAUCAGGUAACUAAUGAGGUAUUUACAUUUUUUCUUCAUCCCGUCUUGGAAAUUAGGUGUGUAUUUUGCGCUUAGAGUAGCAUCUCACUUUGGAUGCUACAGUUUCAUUGGAAAUACUUGAUCUGUGUAUACAUUUAACAGGAUUUUUUUGGAAAAGCAGAUUCAGGUCCAAAUACGAGGAAAAUGUUUCCUUUAACGACAUUGUCAUUUAAAUUGAAAUCAAUAACGGUAUCAGAUAGCCCCGCUCCAGUCUGGCUGGGCACAGAACCCUUGUGAGGGAGAAACAUGAGCAGGGCACUGGGAGAGAUUUCAUUAAGGUAGCACCUGCUCUUCUGUUACUUUGUUUAGUGAAUGAAAUCCUGAUGGAGACCCUUUCUCCCUGAGGUUCUCCUCAUCCCUCUACCUGUCCCCAAGUAAACCCUCACUGCCCCAGGGAUGACACAAAAAGCCGAGGUCUCUCUGGCUGGGGCUUUGUGUGACUUAAAGGAGGGGUUUCUGUUUUAGUGGUGACUUUUGCAGAUCCCUACGGGGUGGAAUUUUGUAAUUUCCAUUCCAGCCUGUUGAAGAGGUAUUUACAAAUUCAUGGAGAGGAAAGUUCUAAUUUUUUUCCCCUUGAGCAGUUCUUUGGUAUAACAAUGGGAUUUAAUUGACAUUUGAAUUUUUAGUAGCUGUUUUUAUUCCCCCCCCCCCUCCUGUGGUGUCUUGCAAGACUCGAUUUAAUCUUUUAUUUUAGCCCCUACUUCCUGGAUUCACAGUUUACCUUCUCAGGCUGUCAUUCCCCUGCUAGGACAGGUGCAACCUGGUGGUUUUUAGUUUUUUGGAUCCUUGAGAGAAGGUGCGUAUCCAUGUGGAGGACCUUUGUCACCUAGUUCAGCCAGGCUGUGUAUUUCCCACUGCUGGCUACAGUUGUUAGAAAGAUCUUUUCCCUUCCAGGAGUGGAUCUCUGCAGUUAAGCUAGAUAGUUCCAGCCAACUCUAACCUAUGUACUUGGGCGGUCUCACCGUACUUUCAUAUCCUAACUUGUGUGUCUAAUUUUUGAUACCGGGUGUGGCUUUUUCAUUUUUUUGCUUGAAAUUGGUAAGUUCUGAAAAAAUUGCAAACCAAUACAGUGACCAGGCCAAAUCCAGUUUACUAUUUUCUAGAGAAAAGUUGAAUUACUUUGGGGUUCAGGUAGAUCCAGAAGGGCCGUCAGAGACUGACAGUAAGUGAAUUCUGCAGAUGAGUGACUUCCUCGUGUGUUCGGCCCUUUGGAUAGACUGUUGAACUGUGUUGGGUCUUAGAAACCUGGAAGCAUGUCUCAUACCUCAGCUGACCCCUGGGACUGGAUGUUGUAUAUUAUACUGUGCUCAUACUUCUGAAGGAGAACACAAGGCACAUUGCCUGCUCUUGAGGAGUUGUGGUCUUGGUAAAAUGAAGCUGUAAACUUAGACAGGUCUAAUGGAUGAUUGAGAUGGAAGGUACAUUUGUCAGUGGGUUCUGUUUUAAAAUUCUUUUUUUUUUAAGGUUUUCUUUAUUUCAGAGAGAGAGAGAGGGAGCACGCGCGUGCGUGAGUAGGGGGGAGGGGCAGAGGGAGAGAGAGACAGAUGUUCCACUGAGUGGGGAGCCCAGUGCCAAUGCCAGGGCUCCAUCCCAGGACCUUGGGAUCAUGACCUGAACCUAAGGCAGACGCUAACUGACUGAACCAUCCAGGCUCCCCUCACUCGCUUUAAAAAAAGAUUUUAUUUAUUUAUUUGAGAGAGAGAGAGAGAGAGUAAAAUUCUAUACCAAACAGAAACAGAGCAAUUUCCUGCCAAGGAGUAGUAAUAACAACAGAAAUAGCAGUUGGCAUUUAUUGAUUCAUUCAGCAAAGGUUUAGUGGGUGCUUACUAUGUGUCAAGCACUCUUCUAGAAUAGAGCAGCCAACACAAUGGGCACAGAGUCUGCUUGGGUUUAUUAUGCAGGUGUUGGGAAUGUAUCUGAUAUGACACGUGCACACUUGCAUUUUAAUGAGUUGAGUGAAUAAAAAUUUAUAGCUGAAUGUCAUCACGGCUGCAAUGGAAGUGUGAGCAGGAAGUGAUAAAUGCUUUGAAGAAUACCAAAUGAUAGGUCUGGCGAGGACAAACUUGAACAAGUGACAGUUGCUUUCUUUCCAUCUCGUUCUCUCUGGGCUUCAUUCAGUCAGCUCUUGUCAUCUUCUUAGGUCGGGAGUGAGCAGUUGGAGGACUGUGAAUGAUUCAGUGCAGUCAUUUUGCUUUGAGCCGUGUGAACAUGGACAGUUUAUCUGUAGCAUCAUCCUCAGACUGCGUAGGAUUUGUUUUCUCAAUGACUGCUAAGAGAGUCUCUGAUGUUAAAAUCAAAUCAGAUACCAAAUUGUUAAAAAAACAAUUUCCAGCAGUUUAAAUUUUAAUUAAGCCAUUGCUUUAAUAUUAUUUCUAGGCAUAUAUGGCUUUUUAAAUGCGUGGAUUGAGGAUGGAUGUCUUCGCUGUGACACAGUGGUUUGUUUUACAAAUACAUUGAAUACAUGACAAAUAUAUGUAAAUACAAAUGCAUUGAAUAAACUGAGCCCCUUUGAAUUGUGCCCUUAUCUUUAAAAGGAAAGACUUCUAAAAUUUAAACAUGGAUUUUGAUGUUUUUGAGUUUGCCCUACUGAACUUUGCAAGAAUUUUCAAGCUCUUGGGUCUAACACAAACUGGAGUUUAGUGAGACGGAUCAAAUAAUUUUAUUCUCAUCUCAAAGUUACUGAUGUAGGAGAGAUGUUGGGGUCUGUAGCCCAUGGCCAAGAAAGAAUUCUUGAGAUGUCUUUGGUGCAAAAAGGUGGUUUUCUUAAAGCACGGGGACAGGACUGUGGGCAGAGCAGCACUGGGGUACUGAGGAGUGGCCCAUUAUAUACUUUCCAGUUGGGAGGGGGUUAGGGAUAGGGUAAGCCUCCCAGGUAUUUGGGAAACAAGGUUUCCAGGACCCUGAGAGGGCCUCGCCAUUAUUAGGAAAGGGUCAUUUAUUAUUGUCUAAUAAAACCCUAGUCAUGAGACCCUUCAGAUGUAUAUCGGUGGAUCAUACGCUUCAGGGAUGAUUGUUAACAUAUAUCUUGGGGAGUUUAGAGAUAAAGGAAUUUUCCAAAGGAAUUUUUAUAUGUUAAAGUAGACUCACAGGAUCCUGGUGGUCGGGCUAAGAUUGGCUUUUGCCCUUAGCAAAGUAUUAACAUCGAUGUGGCUGAGUCCCUAAAGGACUGUCACUCUGCCUGUUUCAAGGACUUGUCAAUGGGCUGCAAGUAGUAAGGAAAUGUAAUUUUUCUUUUGCUUUUGUUUCCCACAUCGGUUACCAUGAACUCCACUUGGGCAGGUUGGACUGUAUUAUAAUGGAAGAGCCAAGGCACCUGUCAUUUUAUUCUGUUGCAAUAGGGAGAACUUGCAUUAAUGAGGAAAGUCUCAGAGUAGAGAGAGAACACUUAGGGUUUUAUAAAACGAGGGAAUCAAUGAGGAAAAUGGGAGGUGGGUCCCAGCAUAUUCCAGAACAGAAUGGUCCUUUGCAUGGGGUCCUUGCUCUGAACACAAAAGGGUCACAAAAGGGUGGUAGCAUGUCUUGAACAGGGCUCUUUCCCUUGAGCCCUGGGCUCAGAUAAAGUUCAACAUUGUCAGUGCAUGCAUUGGGAAGUAUUUUUAAAAGGGUAUUGCUGAUUAAAGCUUUCACUUAAAAGCUUCAGCAGUUAAUCAGAAAUGUGCAAUUUAUAAUUAGUGUAAUUUAAGCAUAAUGAUUUCAUGGUAACUAUCUCAAUGUAGUCAUUUGAUGAUUUUAAGAUAUAAACAUGGGGUUUUUAACCCUCACAAGUUAUUUUAUGCCAGAAACUAAGAAAAAUGCUGCUGGUUAUUCUCCCCCAAUUCCCAUCUUAGGUUGAUCAUAUGAUUUUUCUGGGUCCUUAAUUAUAUUUAAUUAUAUUUAGGGGAUAUUUAUGCCAUUGCAUGUUCUGUUUGGGGUUUUGCAAAUUUGAAUCCCAAAGUUAGUAUAAAUAAAACAAGAAAUAUAAAAAGGACAUAGGCCUGUUAUCUUAGCAUUUUGUUUUCAGGAAUUGUUUGCUAGGGCUUAUGGAUCUAAUUCUCUUGCAACAUUAGGAUUCGGGUUUUCUUUAGGGAAUGCAGGAAGCAUAAACUGAGGAAUUAUUUUACAUAACAAUCAGAAUGAAAUGUUAUUUAUUUAUAAGUUACUCAGGGCCCAAAGGCCUUAGGGCACCAAACAUAACACAGUAUAGAAAACAAACCAAUUUUCAUUGACAUUUAGCUAUAAAUUGAAAUUAAUUCAUAUAAAAUACCUGAGACGAAACACUUUUUUGGGUACUGUUUAGCUUUCAUGGUUUUGUCAUUUUAGAUUUAACUUCAAAACUGUGUUGCAUAAACUCAUUUGCUAGAUAAAAUUUUCUGGCUAUCCACUUUUUAUUGUACUUCUGUACUGUGUAGGUGAACAGUUUAGUAUUUAAAAUUCUUACAUGUUUUUUUUUUUUUCCGUGUGGGUUUUAUCUUUUCUGUUUUUCAUUCCUUUGUACAUGGUCCUACUUAUUCUUGCUACUUAUUCUGGAGCCAAAGCUGGAUGGGGGUGCAGUGCACUGCUGUGUGUGUGUGUGUGUGUGGUCAGGAUAACAUUUUUGGGAAAUGGAUGACUGCAAAACAGUGAGGCCUGCCCACUUGUGGGCAAAUGACAUAACCAACAGCUUACCGAAUGCCUUGCCAAGACAAAUAGGAUUGAGUUGUCCCCAUUGGUGGCUGCUCCCACGCAUGCUGAAUUCAUUCCACCCUUGGCUCUGCCUUCCUGUAACCUGGAGAAACUUGCUGAAAUUUGUACCCAAAGGGGGAAAAAAAAAGACCAAAACAGGACAUAGUGAAGUUUAAAUAUGCCAAAUGAGGAAAUAAAUGAUACAGUGCAGAAAUGGCAGGGAGCACAUUCUACCUGAGACAGAGUUCAGAGGUCAGCAUCAAAAUCCAGAAGGAGGCAGAGAAGGACUUGAAAUUUCUAAAAGUUCGUUAAUUUGUGUUUCUUAUGAAUUGAGGUAACACGGUUUUUUGUUUUUUGUUUUUUUUUUAAAGAUUUUAUUUAUUUAUUUGAGAAAGAGAGAAUGAGAGAGAGAAAGCACAUGAGAGGGGGGAGGGUCAGAGGGAGAAGCAGACUCCCCGCCGAGCAGGGAGCCCGAUGCGGGACUCGAUCCCAGGACUCCAGGAUCAUGACCUGGCCCGAAGGCAGUCACUUAACCAACUGAGCCACCCAGGCGCCCCGUUUUUGUUUUUGUUUUUAAAUUCUCUUAUCACCACCAUUUCUGGUUUCCAGUAGUCUCCCUUAUUUCCCUGGGGAGGGCAUGCAGGAAUGGCAGGAAAUGCUAGGGCCUUGUUUGCAGAGCCCUCUCCAGGUGGCGGCUAGCCUGUGUGGCCAGCUAAUACCACUCCCUUCCAGUGUCCAUGCUGUAGGCUGACCUGAAGGUCAGAGCUGUCGCAUGUGUUUUUCCUCUUAUGUAAAAAAUAAAUUAGAUAGGGAAGUUUUAGCUGUUGAAUUAUUUUUUGAAAUUCAUGUGAGAGAUAUUAUUUUAAAUUUAAAGAAUUUAAAAAAAUGACCACCAUCCUAAUGAUUGUUUCUCAAGUGUGGCUUCGUUUACUGCUCUGAUUUAGACCUAGAGCAUGACUUGGCACAUACUAGGUAGCCAGUAAAUUUUCACUGAAUGCAUGUAUGGUCCAUAGACCACAGGCCUCCGAAGCUCCUGGGUGGUUAUUACAAAUGCAGGCUCUCAGGCAUCCCCUAGGCCUUCAGAAUCAGAAUGUCUAGGAGAGGAGCUGCAUUUUAAAAGAGGCUUCUCCAGCAGAUUUGUAUGUGUCCUCAAACUUGACAACUGCUGUGCUAACACACCCAAGGGUUUUUAGUUUCCAUGUUGCUUUUCAUAUACAUUGUAACAGGGAGGUUUUUAGGUUCAGUUCUCUAUCCAUCCAUAACUUCCCCACCUCUCCGCAGCAGUAUUAUAUAACAAAUAUUUACCUAGUUAUACAUAAAAAAAAACUUUUUAAAAACUAAUUAAUUAUUAUUAUUUUUAAGUAGGCUCCAUGCCCAAUGUGGGGCUUGAACCCUGAUAUCAAGAGUUGCAAGGUUUACUGACUGAGCCAGCCAGGCACUCCCUACUCAGUUAUACAUUUUAAUGUUAUCCAACAAAAUUGGAAUGCUCUCUAUACCUAACCAUUUUCCUCUUGUUGGAUUCCCCCUUUCCCUCCCUCAUUAUUCUUUAAAGCUCCGGAGUAAUAUAGGCAUGUAUAGCUAUUCUUUCUGUGAGCCGGGUGUUCUUUCUAGAAGUUUCUUGCAGAGAGGAGAUAACAAGAGCUAAAAGGGCUCCCUUCAUGGCUUUAAAAUUGUUAUUUAUUUGUAAGACUUUAUUUAUUAAUUAAAAUAUUUAUUUAUUUGAGAGAGAGCAUGUGCACAAGCUGGGGGGAGGGAGAAGGACAAGCAGACUCCACACUGAGCAUGGAGACUGACGUGGGCUCAAUCCCAGAACCCCAAGAUCAUGACCUGAGCUGAAAUCAAGAGUCCGAUGACUAACUGAGCCGCCCAGGUGCCCCAACUUUAUUUAUUUAUUAAAAAAAAUUUGUUAACUAUGUAUGGUGAUGGAUAUUAUUGUGGUGAUCAUUUUGCAAUAUGUACAUAUAUCAAAUCAUUAUGUUGUUUAUCUUAAACUAAUACAAUCUUAUAUGUCAGUGCUAUUUCAAUAAAAUGGGGGAAAAUGCCACCCCUAAAUAUUUCUGGCACCUUAGUGUGGUAUCUGGCACAUAGUAGAUGGUCAAUAAAUAUUUAAUAGAUGACUGGAUAAAUGGAUGAAGGAGUCAAAAAAUAAAAGGGCUUUUGGAAGCUAUUAGCAUUUAUAUAGCACUUUCAAUCUCUGCUGUCUAACUUGCUUACCUAGUACAUUCCUUUUUGAGGGAAAAACCAUUCCAGGUCACAUUUCAUUAAAUAUUACUAAGAAAUUGCAAAACUACUUACUGGUGAUGACCAAGGAUUCCUAAUUACUUCCCUUGAAUUAGGCAGGAGGGCUGGGUGCCUUGAGACUGAGGCAAGAAGAAUGUUUCUCCCUGGGAAUUUUUUCCCCCUUCAUUUGAGAAAUAUAAAAAUUAGCUGUGAUUCCUCAAGCUACAUGAUAAUGCUAAUCUUUUACAACAGAAGUAAAGAAGAUCCCAGUUCCCAUGUAAAUUUGGGGACUUUUGAGUUCUACAGAAUUAAUACAUUUCUUAAGACUUGUUAUUCGAGUAUACAAAAUAAACUGUUUCCCAAAUUUAUUUGACCUUAGAAUCUUUUCUUUAGUAUCUCUUAAAAUUACUUCUCUACAGAACAGUCUCUGGGGAAUACUCACCUAAAGGGGUGUUUUUCAAACUGCAGGACAAGAUUCAUGAUUAUGGGUCAUGGAAUUUGUGUAUAACCAGAAUUUACAUAUACAGAUACGUAAAAACACAACUCGUGUUUCCUUUUUCAAAGUGUGUGUCCUGAGAGCUCAGAGACAGAAGGUUACAUUUCUUUCUUUCUUUUUUCUUUAAAGAUUUAUUUAUGUAUUCCAGAGAGAGAGAGAGAGAGAGAAGCGUGAGUAUGUGUGUAUGUGGGGGGGGGGGGGGCAGAGGGAGAGGGAGAAUCUUAAGCAGACUCCCUGCUGAGCAAGGAGCCUAACUCAGGGUUCUAUUCCAAGACACCAAGACCAUGACCUGAGCUGAAAUCAAGAGUCAGACACUCAACCCACCAAGCCACCCAGGCUCCCAGAAGGUUCACAAGGUUCUUUCUGUGUCUCCUCCCACUAAAAGAAAACCAAAAAAGCACAAAAAUAUAGCCAGUUUGAUAUGAAGAAUGUAAGCAUAAAUAUAAUUUCUUGUUUAAAUAAUAGAGCAAUAUUAAUUCUAUUUAAUAAGCACAUAUUAGUACUUAAUAUGUGCCAACACUAUUGUGAUCAUUUUACAAAUAUGAACUAAUUUGAUCCUCAUAACCACCCUGCAGGGUAUAUGUGCUGUAAUCAUCCCCAUUUUAUGGAUGGGAAAGUGAAGCACUUGCUAGCAUUCUCUAUGAUAUAAUUAACUGUAAAAUCAGGAAGUGACAGUAAUAAUUAGUAUAUAUAACUUUGACCUCACAUUUAAUAAUGGCAAUUAAAGAUCAAAAGGAGAAGAGAAGCCAAUCAUAUUAUAUUAGAGUUAGGAUCGUGCCAAAUGUUCUUUCUGGCCCCAUGGUAAUGGGGCUUGGGUACAACGCAAAUUAUGUGCAGAUACUAGAAUGAUCAUUGGACUGUUUGAGGGCUUUUAAAAGAUAACAGAACAUGGAACAUGGAUAAAAUGUCUUCAGAUAUUAUUUGCUCAUUUGUGGCCAUCUGGCCACUGCAUGUAAUGAAUGACAAGUCAUCUACUAUAAGGAAUAUUUUUGUUUUUUAAGUGAGCAUUUCUCUAGUGUCAGGAUUAUUCCUUUUGCUGGUUUUCUUCCUAUCUUUCCUGCAAAUGGGAUAAAUCAUUUGUAAAAGUAGCACUUGUCACAGACUGUACUUUGUGUAUAGCAACAUGCUGUAUGUUGAGGCUGAGGGGUGAGGCUCCCAGCUCACACACUACCCCAAAGCAGGACAUGUUGGCCUAGUGCAUAUUUUGAGUUUAAGGAGUUUGAGAAAUGGCAGGUGCAGGAGGGACUUGGUGAUUUUCCCAUGAUACAGUUGAUAAUGACGGUCAUGUGACAGAUGCUCUUCCUAUACCUGGAAGAAAGGAAGGGAGACACCAGGAAGAAUUCAAAUUAACAGGCCUUGCUAAGUUUCCCCCAGAUUACCACACUUAGCUCGUAUCCUGUCACGUCUGUCCACAACUUUCCACUCUUCAUUGAACCUAGCGUUAGAAAUGCUCAAGUUUAACCACUUCUUGGGUCUUAUUUCCCUGUGAAGACUCUGGGUGGUCAUGCAGAAGUUAUAGUAAAUAAGUCUGAAUGUGUUUCUCUUGUUUAUGUUUUGUCAUAGAGCCCCAGCCAAGAACCAAGAAGGGUAGAAUGAAAGUUGUUUUCUCUCCCCUAUAAAGUGGCAUUUUCUAAGAAAGUUAAUAAUCUUCCUUUCGUUCCCCACAGCCAUUGGGAAACACUUUUUGUUUCUGAAGAGGUUGUUUUAUUCACUUAGGAGAGAAGACACACCCAAGGACUUCAGAGCCAUGGUUCUGAUUUCAGUGGAUAAGCAUAGCCGUGGUUCACAGUGGGAUUAGGGUUGUCCCCAGGGGACAUCUGGCAAUGUCUGGACACAUUUUUGGUUGUCACAACUGGGAGGGUGCUGUUGACAUCUAGAGGGGAGAGGCCAGGGAUACUGCUUAAACAGCCUGCAAUAGACAGCACAGCUGCCCCCAACAGAGAAUUACCCACAAAUGUAAACCAUGCCAAGGCUGAGAAAGCCUGCUUUGGAGCAAUUUGGUGCAAUUCUCUGUCAGUGAACCGCCUUGGUUUAAACUAAGGGCAGUAGAGUUCCAAUUCUUUGUGACUUGCUUCCAUUAAAAUUAUUUCUCUUGGACCUAUUCUCAUGACCAAUUACAGAUGUUUUGUGGGGAAGCUGUAGUGGAGAGAGGAGGCAAAAGAUGGCGUCAGUUGCCCAAAGAAUUGGGGUACUUAGAUUUUCUCUAAUCAUUGAAUUUUGGAGGAAGAGGGGGGGCUGUUUCAGGUUUGGAGUUUGUGAGGUGUUGGAAAAUCUGCUGCUGGAAUGUGCUAUGAACAGACUAAAUCAUGGUCAAUACGUGUCUGGUUGUCGCUGGGUUGAGCAGUGUCACAAAUGGUCUGCAUGUAUUGUUUUCUUAUUCAUAAUUUCCAAUAAAAUCAAAAUGUCACCUUUUUAAAGAUGAGGAAACAAUCUCAGAAGUUUAGUAACUGUGGACUUCUCUAAUUCCUUGUUGAAGCAUGGUGUAGUAAAUAGUAAAUUCUUUUGAAUGGCCAUUCCUCGGGUUGCUUUCUUUGUGCUCUGCUUUGCUUGGGAUAAAGAGAAGUGAGGUUUGGAGAACUUCUUGAACGUACUCCAGUGUUUUAAGGCCUUCCCUCCCUGCUGGUUGCCUAGCCCAGGUCCUCGCAUCUGAUUGCCAGUGAGGAGGAAAGGUCUCUUACUAAGGGACACAGAGGUAGAAUAGAAAACAUUUAGACAAAUUGCAGCCUCUGCCAUCCUGAUACUUGAAGAUUCUCCCCUGAUCUUUUCAUUUUAGUCUCUUAAGAUUCCUCUUUCUCAUUUUAUUCUUCCUUUAUCUCCAUAGACUAUAAAGUGAUCCAGAAACUUAGUAAUAUUAUGAAUGACCAUUUAUCAAGUGGCCACAAUCUGCUUACUAAUGUUCAAAGAAUAUGAGGAAUGUCAGUUUUGUUUCCAAAUCCUCAUUAUCCCCAAACUACUUGAUACCAAGCCUGCUUAGGUCUUUUUACUCCCCAAAUCAAUCACCCUUUUAUUUCUCAUAGGGUCUUAGGUGCAGAGGACACAUUCUGCAGAAGAUCAGACGCGGUCUGAGUGAUGGGGAUGUAGGAGAUGGUAUUUUAUGUAGCUUGUGUCACUCCUACAAUAAUUCAGAUGGGUUCAUAAUUUAAUAUUCAUCCUUGAAAUAUUUU
This is a long non-coding RNA of Mirounga angustirostris (Northern elephant seal), 41975 nucleotides long. RefSeq lists it as uncharacterized. The record is from RefSeq and is a predicted model, not a curated record. NCBI's taxonomy places the organism in Eukaryota, Metazoa, Chordata, Mammalia, Carnivora, Phocidae. The transcript has 2 exons.